Molecule: ribosomal RNA, 233 nt
Filed under: uncultured bacterium
Lineage: Bacteria
Description: partial 16S ribosomal RNA
Rfam family: Bacterial small subunit ribosomal RNA
Source: RNAcentral
GAUUAACGCUAGCGGCAGGCCUAACACAUGCAAGUCGCACGGGAUUUCGGGUAGCAAUAUCUUGAUGAGAGUGGCGCACGGGUGCGUAACACGUAUGCAAUCUACCUUUAACUGGGGAAUAGCUCACCGAAAGGUGAAUUAAUACCGCAUAAAAUCACAGAAGGACAUCCUUCAAUGAUUAAACCUACGGGGUUAAGAUGAGCAUGCGUCCGAUUAGUCAGUUGGCGGGGUAA